Molecule: long non-coding RNA, 10094 nt
Filed under: Ananas comosus (pineapple)
Lineage: Eukaryota; Viridiplantae; Streptophyta; Magnoliopsida; Poales; Bromeliaceae
Description: long non-coding RNA (ACOM_LNC010830)
Source: RNAcentral
UAAUACGCUACUCGUUUCGUUCAUAUAAAAGCAUAAACUAAUUACUAGCAUCUCUCUCAUGAUAAACUAAAUCAGUAUAUAUAUAUAUAUAUAUAUGAGUCCGGCUACUACACUAUCGAUAGCACCAAGUCCUUGGUACUAUUAAGUUUUCUACCAUUAGAUCUACCUUUUGAUCAUUUCCACCCGUUAGAUUAUACUAUUAAACCAACCACCCACUCAAUCCGAGGGGACCACUAUCAUCCUAACCACACAUCCUUUCAUCCAACGGUCGAAAACUCAAUAGUACCAAAGGCUUGGUACUAUAAAUAGUAUAGUAGCAUAAUUCUAUAUAUAUAUAUAUAUAUAUAUAUAUAUAUAUAUAUAUAUACGGAAAUAAAUAUGGUAUUUUUUUCAACGUACUUUCUCACCGCACAUAACGCAAUUUUCCUGCAAUCCCAAACGAAGCCUAUAUUAUUUAACCAAUCACCCACCCAAUCCUAAGACUAUAUUAUCAUCCUAACGCACAUCGCUUCAUCUAAGGGCCGAAGACCUAAUAGCACCAAUAACUUGUGUUAUUAAUAGUGUUCUAGCCUAAUUCAUAUUAUUAGUAAAUAAUUUAUUUUAAUAUUUAAAUAGGUUGUCGUGGACAGCGAGUACUGUACACAAAUGGUUCGGGCCUCAUAUCACAGGCUUAUGACAGGUAGGGCCUCACAUCUCACUAUCCAUACUUAGUUGCUCUCUUUUUCCAUUGUGUAAUAAUAGAAGUUCUUAUCGUUCUUAGAGCAAGUGGUAAAAGAUUUGGCGGUUGAUCGUCGAGAUCUCAAGUUCGAAUUCUAAUUGAUUCACAUUUUCAACUGAGUUUAUUUUUAAAUAAAAUAAACGAAGCGGAUAGCGUGCUAUUUAUUUUUCAAAAAAAAUAAUAAUAAUAGAAGUUCUUAAUUACUACUCAACAUAUUCUUUACAAAUGAGGCAUAUGAUCGAGUAUAUGACUAUACAUAAAUGAACUCUCUCUCUCUCUCUCUCUCACUCUCUUUAUUGUUCUCAAAUUCCAGGACAGAAACAGUCCACACCAUCUCAACAGUUUCUUGGACCAAUUAAACAUAAACAAUACAUUUACUUCAUUAAAAAAAAUGAUUCAAAAAGAUCUUCUGAAUCUCCAAUCAAAUACUAUAUUCACUAAACAUGCAUGUACAACGCAGAGGAUGAUACAGAGGGAACAAGGUGCACAUUUGCAUAUGACGAGCUAAGCAAAUACAGAUGAAUCUGAUCUGAAACUUAUACGUGCAUGCCACCCAUGAUGGGAGCAUCUACCAAGUAAUACGCGCAAUUUCACGUGCUUUCCUCUUCAUCAUUUACAACCUACAUCUAUUUUUUUAAUUGUUUGUUUUAGCGUAGUUGUUUAAGAAUUUAAUAGUUGAUACUAAGAUCCUAAAUUUAAAUUUAUUCGUAGUAGAGUUAAUUUUUCAAAAAUGAACAUAACGGAUAGCAUUCUAUCUUCUUUUUUUUUUUAAAAAAAAAAACUUUAAAUACCACCAUGUGGUUUUGCAUUUUUUUAUUUUAAUACCUUAUAGUUUAAAGUGUAUCAAUUUAGUACCAUGUGGUUUCGUACUUUCUCAUUUUCGUACCCUAUGGUUUAAAGUGCACUAAUUUUGUAUCCUGUGGUUUUAUUUUUUUUUCUUUUCGUCGGCUUCUCUGUUAAUAUUUCGUUAAAUUAUAUACAAAAAACUUCAGAUACUCUAUCUAGGUUUAUCAAAUAUUUACUUUAGUACUCUUUAGUUUUAACUUUGUCACUGAUUUUUUUUUUCUCCGUUAAUAUUUUGUUAAAUUAUAUAGAAAAAACUUCAAAUAUCUUAUCUAGAUUUAUCGAAUAUUCAUUUUAGUACCCUUUAAUUUUAACUUUGUCAUUUAACGAAAAAAAAAGUAAAAUAGAUAAUAAAAAAAUAAAAUAAAAUCACAGGGUACUAACUUGAUACACUUUAAAUCACAGGAUAUUCAAGUGAGAAAGUGCGAAAUCACGGGGGUUAACUUAAUACAUUUUAAAUCACAGGAUAUUCAAGUGAGAAAGUGUGAAAUCACAGGAAAAAUCUUUGAAGUUUACCCUAAAAAAACAUAUGUUUUCUUGGGAGAACUCUUCGCGACAAAACAAGUUAUUAUAAUCGAAUUACCCAUCAAUGUAGUUCACUUUUCUUGAUGAUUAAGUUGGUUAAGCACAAGAGAACUAAGCCAAUUUUAUUGAUUUCCAUCAUGGAACAUGUGGUGGAGAGCUAUACUUUUUACUCCAUUUUUUGUUGGUUAAACUUGGGAAUAAUAAAUAGUAUUUGUAAAGCCAAAUAAUUUUGACGAAAAAUUGAAGAUUUAACAUCUUAAGCUUUAAAAACCAUAAAAUUAGUAGAUUAUUUAUGAAACCUAUUGCUUAAGAAUUUACAUGUUUUCACUUGUUAAAAUCAAUUGUGACGGCCAAACCUGCAAUUGAAUUGAAAGGUUGAGAAGUUGGAUGUUGCAUUUGCAGCUAGAGUACAACAAUAUAUUAUUCUUGGUUGAUUAUAAAUUUGGCCCUUGAAAUUUGAAGACUUUUUUUAUUUUCAUUCAAUAGAUUUAAUUGUGACAAUUUAGUUGUUGAAUUUUUUAUGUGAAAUAAUCAUGUUACUAAAGCCGUGGCUUUUUUUUUUUUUUUAUUGAUCUUAAUUAUCAAUAAGCUCGCCCUGAUGGAUCAAUCCAUAGGAAAUCAAGCUUUCACAUAGUCCGAAAUGUUAUCUGAAUCCGAAUUCAAAUGGAGCGAAUUUAUUCGAUACUAAACGGGCAUGGUUUUGAAUAUAGAUAUCAAAAAUAAAAACCCGACGGAUAUGAAUUUUGACUGUAUCCGAUCCGAACCCGAAACUUAAUUUAUUUUACAUUAUAUAUAAUACGUAUAUAAAAUUUGAUGUUAUAUUUGAAUUUGUAUUUUAAAAAUUUAGAUUUAAUGUAAUAUAUUUUAAAAUAUUGUUUUGAAUAUAGAUAUUAGAAACAAAAAUCCAAUGGAUAUGGAUUUUGACUGUAUCCGACCUGAACCCGAAUCCGAAUCCUAAUUUAUUUUACAUUAUAUAUAAUAUGUACAUAAAAUUUGAUGUUAUAUUUGAAUUUGUAUUUUAAAAAAAAUAGAUUUAAUGUAAUAUAUUUUAAAAUAUUGAAAAAAAUAAUUAUUUCGAAUUUGAAUUUUCGGGUUCGAAUUCUGGAUUUUCGGUCGGGUUCAACUUUGGAUAUGGAUUUUUAAAAUCUGUCGAGUUCGGAUUUGAAUUCGGAUUCGAAUUUCGAGUUUGGAGUCAGAUUCAGGUUCGGAUUUUUAAAAAUCUGCCCCGAAUCUGACCCGUUGACAUUCCUAGCUAAGAAGAACCUAGAACCAAUCCUACUCUCGACAAGUAUAAAAAGAAAUAUUCGAAUAUCGUGUUUUGAGAAAGUUUGGUUAACGCGGGAGGAUUUUAAGUAGAACGUCCUGGGCUGAUGGAACGAUGUGUUAGACAAAGACUUGAGCAUCCUAACAUUCACGACGAAAUUGUGCCGCUGUUAUAAGCGUAUUAAGGUAUUGUUUGAUUCAAAAAUAAAAUUUAUUUAUUUAUUUAUUUAUUUUUAGAAUAAAUAUAAUUUUUGAAAUAAGUAGGAAUCAGAUUAUUUUUACGUUUGAAUGAUAAUCGAAAUAUUGUGAGGGAUAAGAAAACACUGUGCCUGAGUAUUAUCUCACUCUCCCAAUCAACUUUUUGAAAGGGAGGCUUCUUUUGGACUCUUUAGUCAUUGCAAGUGAGUUAGUAAUUAAGGUGGAAAACUAAGAUGAAGGUUAAAGGUAUUGGACUAAGAGAAGAUUUUGAGAAGACGUAAAAUAAGGUAAACUGAUAUUUUUUUUUAUACGAUUUUAAGAAGGCUUAUUAUGUCGUUUUAUUUUUAGUUUACUAAAAGGGUUCAUUGUUAAAUAAGGUAUCAUCAUUUGUUUUUUUUAAAAAAUUUUACUUUACUGUUCUAUUUGACCACAGGUUUUUAUUAUUGACAUAAAAUAAAGGCUAAAUUAUAUAAAAUCAUCAUGUCAAAAUCUGAUUUUUUUUACUUUUUCCUUCUGUCAUUUAAAAACCUACAGUUUACCUUCUUGUAAAAUAAAAAAUAUUCACAGGGGGAAUACGAUGUGAACUGUGAUGACAAAAUGAUCAUUUUGUUUCUCACCAUUUUCGUCUCCUCCUUCAUCUUGUUCAUCCGUUACCUCAAUCGGUUGUGAUUCCUCUUUAUUUUUUUCUCCACCUGCUCCUUUUUCUCCUCCUGCACCCUCGUCACCCAUUCAUUUCGGCGACAGUAGAGAAAAAAUUGAGGUAGGCAUGAAUGGAGAGGCGGACAAGGCCAACGAGGGCGAAGACGAGGCGGCAGAGGAGGGCAAGGGGAUAUUUGUGGGCGCGGACAGUGAUGUGAGCGAGGGCGAGGUAGUGGAAGAGAGCGAGGCGGUGAGGCGGAGGAGGGCGAAGCAAGGGCGGAGAGUAUUUUUGGCAUAAAAAAUAUUUUAUAAUAGAACCUAAAGGAUUACUAACGGUAGAGGAUGAAGUGAACAUUUUUUAUUUUACAAGGGGGCAAAGUGUAGGCUUAUAACUAAUGGGGGGGAAGUGAAAAAUCGAAUUUUGACAGACGAAUUUUCUGUAAUUUAGCCUAAAAUAAAAUCACAAGACAGCUAAGUGCAACUUGUUGAAUCACAAGAUUACAAAUUAAAAAUGCGCUAAACCGCAUGGGACAAAUCAAAGUUUAUCCUUUUUCACAACCUGCUACAUAACUUGAAUCAAACGCGCCCUAAGGGUAAACUUUAAAUACCAUCAAUGUGGUUUCGUACUUUCUCAUUUUAGUACCCUGUGGUUUAAAGUGUAUCAAGUUAGUAUCCUAUGAUUUUAUUUUUCUUUUUUCGUUAGCUUCUCCGUUAAUAUUGCGUUAAAUUAUCUAUAAAAAACAUCAGAUACUCCAUUUAGAUUUAUUGAAUUUUCACUUUAGUACCAUAUAAUUUUAACUUUGUCAUUGAUUUAACGAAAAAAAAAUCACAAAUUACUAAAUUGAUAUAUUUUAAAUCGCAAAAUAUUAAAGUAAAAAAUACGAAACAGCAUGAGUGAUAUUUUAAAUUUUCCUAAUUAUUAGUGAGGCUGAUUUCACUUCAUCUGACUUGUUUUUUGUGGAAAAACUUCAAAUACCACCUCUGAGGUUUUACACUUUCUCACUUUAGUAUCAUAUGGUUUAAAGUGUAUCAAUUUAGUGUUCCGUGAUUUUAUUUUUAUCUUUUUAUUAUCAAUUUUAUUAUUUUUUUAUUAAAUCAGUGAUGACAAAGUUUUUUUUUUCAAGUUAAACUAAAAAGUACUAAAAUAAAUAUUCGACAAAUCUAGGUGGAGUAUCUGAAGUAUUUUAUAUAUAAUUUAACGAAAUAUUAAUGGAGAAGCUGACGACAAGAAAAAAAAUAGAACAACAGAACACUAACUUGAUACACUUUAGACCAUAACGUACGAAGCUACUGGGGUGGUACCUGAAGUUUAUCCUUUCCUUUAAAUUUUUUUUUUUUUUUUAUAUUAGAAUCUUUGUCACCAUCGUGUAGCUUCCGAGUGAGUGGGACGUUCUUGGCAUUUUGCGCACGUGUUUAUGCAUGCGUCGCCACAACCGCGUUGACAUGUUGCAGUUCCCAUCGUUCACGCAAUUGUGAAAAGAACCAUUAAAAAUAGGAAAAGUUUACUCAAUACCCUUCUAAAAGUACAUAUUUUCACUAACACGUCUAUAAAAAUUAAAAUAUUACAAUGCCCCUCAAAUUUUGAAAAACUUUCAAAAUUAUCUUCAUAUGUAACUUUUUAUCCAGAUUGAAGUAAACGGUGAGCAAAUUCCUAUUAUACCCUUUGUUUUACUUUUCAUCGAUGCCCUCUGAAAUUUUAACUCAUAAAUACACUUUAAUUAUACUAAUUAGUGAAUUAAUUAUAUUAUUUGAAAAACAUUAAAUAAAAUGCCGUAUAAAUUUUUUAAUUAGAUGCUAAUAAACAAUCUCAUAAAAAUUGUUGACAAAUCUUUUAAAAUCAAUUAUAAAAAACAAUUUCAUAAUAAUUACGGAAUGUUAUGAAAAAAUUACGAAAUAAUUUUAAAUACAGUUAUCUUUUCUUAUAUAGAAAAUAUAUGGAGCUCUCUCAACAGUAAGCUAUUUUGAAAUAGCUCAUCAAUUUUAUUAAAUAUUUUAUCACCGUCUUCUCUCUUAUUAGCUUUGAUUUAUUUUAAGUAUUAAAAUGAGAACUUCGUAAAUUUAAACAAUAAUAGUAUCAAUUUAUGAUGGCUUUGAUUGGUUGUUUUAUGAAGAAUUUAAAGCUUAUAGCAAAUGAACCACUUAAUUUGACAAAUUUGCCAAUUAUAUGGACCAAAGGAAAGUUUAAAAAGUUUACGUGCCUGUUUCAAAACAAUCUACAUUUGAGGGUCUUAUACACAUUAUUGUCAUUAGUUAAUAGGAGAGCAAAUAAUGAGUAUUCCACCCAGAGAUUCAAAAUAAGGGGCAAAAUAGGCAAUUUUAUAUUUAAUAUAUUUUAUAUAAUAAAAAAUAAUAUAUUAAAAUUAUAUAAACUUACAAAGGCUAACGACCAGGAUAAAGUUAAAAUAAAGUAGGUAUUCUAAUGUAUUAAAUAUAACUAAAUUUUCAUAUGUAAAACUUUUUUUAUAAAAUUUUAUGGUGAAUUUACUAUUGAUUUGAGACAAUGACAAAAUGCAGCAUGAGAAUCGGUAUAUUUUUAGUUGUGAGAAGCUAAAUUGCUGAGUAACCCCUCCCAAAUGGAUAAAUUUCACCACUAGUCCCCAAAUUUUUAGCCAAGAUUUAUUUUAGUCCCAUGCUAUUUAGUUCGAGAUUAGCGGUUUCCAAACUCUUAAAAGAGUUUUAUUUUACUUAUUAUCUAUAUUUUCUGUUUUUUUGAGAGAUAGGUAGCACGCUAUCCGCUUCGUUUAUUUCAUUUGGAAAUAAACUUAGCUGGAAAUAUGAAUCAACCAGGAUUCGAACUUGGGUCUCGGGUACCAACCACCAAGCCUUUUGCCACUUGCUUUAGGGACGAUCGGUAUUAUCUAUAUUUUCUUUUAGAGGGUGAAUUAUUGGCUACACGCCUACCACUACAAAAAAAAUGGUAUAUAGCUACACUUUUAAAUAUAGGUACAUGUCAAAAAAGUACUGAUAGCUAAAAUUACCGACACUUUUAAAAAGUGUUGCUAUAUGUGGGGUCGCUAGGUAUAUAGUGACAGUUAAAGAGUGUCGCUAUAACCUAAAAGAGUGCUGGUAAUUUACCAACACUUAUUUAAGCAUUUAGCAACUGCUGAAACCCUAUCUCGUUGGCUGCGGUGGCGGAGGAGGACGACAGGAAAGGCUCUUCGUCUAGAAUUUCAGUGGAUUGGGUGAAGAGAGAAGAAAAGAUGGUAAUUGAUUUUUUUUUUUUUUCUGUUUGUAAUCGGGCCAAAUAGACUGGGUGUGGUGGGUUGAGUAGAGUAAUCUUUUAUUUUUGGUUGGAUUGAGCUUUAUAUUUAGGCAUUAGUAGAUGUUUUUUUAAGUUUUAGGAUAAAUAAGACACUUACUCAAAAAUGUCCCAAACAUAUAUCCCUAUAACCUAACACACAGUGUAUUUGCACAUCUAUGUACAAUAAAUUUACUGGCUCUUUUAAUUUCCUAUAUAAAGUUUCAAUGCCACCACCCAUUUCAUUAAAAUCCUUUCUUUAUAGAUAAAAAUUGAACUGUUGGAAUUGAAAGUUCAAGAUAGAUAAAAGAUAAAUUAUAAAUAUAUAUAUAAUGUGUCAGAAGAAGUUUUAAUGUAAUGAACUUGUUUUUGUCCAACAAAUAGGGUUCGAAAUGUUGGUUCAAUAAAAUAUAAAGUUGUCAGAUUAGAUCUUUGGUUCAUAUCUGAUAUAGUUGGUUAAAAAUUUGAUGGUUGAUAUCUAAAGUUCCAAAUUCGAAACUUAGUUACUNUUGUCAGAUUAGAUCUUUGGUUCAUAUCUGAUAUAGUUGGUUAAAAAUUUGAUGGUUGAUAUCUAAAGUUCCAAAUUCGAAACUUAGUUACUUUUUAUUUCUAACUAAAAUUAUUUUUAAAAAUAUAAAUAAAGCAGAUAUGAACAAAAGAUCUAAUCUAACAAAUUCUUAAAAAAAAAAAAAGAAGACACCCAUUAGGCGAGGGAUGGGGGAAAAUAAUUUUUUUAAUAGUUUUUAUAAAAUUAAGUGAAUAUAUAGUGUUUUCAAGGCACAUAUUUUAAUUUUUUGUAGGUAUUUAUAUUGGUUUAGAUUGAAGCAAACAAGACUUUUGUGUGUUGGACUUUUGGGUGCAUAUUGAUGUAACCAGCCUAACUAUGGAAGUGGGUCUAUGUCUUUAAUUAUUAUUAUGCAUACAUUAAAGGAAGCUUUUAUAUUUAAAAGUUCCCAAGACAAUUGAAUAUGCAUGGUUGAAACUUUUGGUACACUAUAUACUACUUUUUGACAAAGUCAGAAAAAAGUAAAAUAAGAUUAGACUUAAUUCAAUGAAUUGGGAUUAAUACUAGAAAAUCAUCAUUUAUUUUAAAAAGUUUAACUAUUAGAGAACUACGAUGUUUUGUUAAAUAAUGUAAAACAAUCGAUAAUUUCUGAAAGGUUAAGCUAUCAUAGGGCGUUAUAUUCAGCAAAAUGUGAAAAAGAAGAAGAAGAAGAAAAUUGGCACCUUUAGGAGCAUUUCUUAGGUUUUUACCUGGUACAUGGGCAUUCUAAUUAACUGAGGUUGGCUAAUAAUCCCUUAUACUUUUAACUGACUUAAAUAAAAUAGUUAGCUAUGUGCUAUGGAAAGUGUUUCUGUAACGCUUACACCAAAUAGAAAUUAUAAAUCACAAAACUUAGCCAUGUGUUCUGUUUUUUGUUUGAAAGAAAUAUAGUAAGCUAACUCAGUUACAAAAGCAAUUUGGCUUUCAACUUAAAAUUUUAAGUACCAAUCAUUAAAUCUUAGUUAACUGUGCUAGCUAUGGUUGGUAACUUAAUUAGCCAUGUAUCACUCAUAGACUAGAUAUGUUUACUAUCAUUGGUGCUUUAACCUAUUAAGAUGCUAUUAUUUUUUGGCUAACCAAUCAUCUAACUAGUCGUUGUGUGACUAACAUUUACUUAUUCUAACCGACCGUCCCUAGCGCAAUUAGCAAAAAGGCUUGAUGGUUGGUACCCGAGACCCAAGUUCGAAUCCUAGUUGCUUCAUAUUUCCAGCUAAGUUUAUUUCUAAAUGAAAUAAACGAAGCGGGUAGCAUGCUACCCUUCUCUCAAAAAAAAAAACAUUUACUUAUUCUACAUAGAGUUUUGUUAUUGUACAAAGAAUUUUCCUGGAAGCAAUAAUCUAAAUUGGUUUUUCUUGAUCAUGAUAAUAAAUAUUAAUUGUAUGACCAUAGAAACCCGAAAAAAAAAAAAAUUUGAUGGACACGGUCCUUAAUGGUAGAUAGGCUGAUAUGUUCGUUCACACAGUUUUAAAAUUCAUUCCGUUUACUAGGCCAUAGAUAAAAUAAUAUCAUGUUAAGAGUUGUUCUUACGAACAUUUUGUUCCCAAGAACUGCAUUAUUUGUCCAAUAUCAGAACUCCCAAAUAAGUAGGGAUUCAAAUGAAUCUGGAGUCUCUCGCCUCAGUCUGAUCCAAAUAGAGCAGUAAGUGAUGGUCAAAAAUAACAAAAAAAUAAUUCAUUCCAAAUCUAACUUGAUCCGUAAAAAAAAAGAAAAAGAUGGAGCGGGUGAUGGGGGACAUUUUUCUUUUUUUGAUCGGUCAUAAUCUGCUAAAACCCCGCUCCUGUCUCGCCCCACCACGCCUCGAAUGGAGCCAUAAGUGGGAACAAAAAUAAUAAUAAAAGUUAGUCCAUUCGGAAUUCAUCCCAAUCUAUUAAAAAAAAAGAAGAUGGUAGGUAGAGGACCCUCUCCCCGAAUUUGCCUAGUUUGCAUCUCUAGUCCCAAAAGAUUUGGAUGGAUAGUUUGAGAUUUUGAGGCUAGUAUUGAGAUAUGUAAAAUAUAUGAAGCAUUUAUGACGCCAAUCAGUGGAUUAAAUUGUACACGCAUGCCUUUCACCUACAUUACGUUUACUUAGCCCAAUGCACCAGCAACGAAGCUAUCUUUUUGGAAAAAAAAAGAUUAUUAUAAACAAC